GACGAACGCUGGCGGCGUGCCUAAUACAUGCAAGUCGAGCGGACUUUCAAGAAGCUUUCUUUUUGAAAGUUAGCGGCGGACGUGUGUUUAACACGUGUUCAACCUUCCUGCAAUACGGGUAUAACUCCGGGAAACCGGUGCUAAUACCGUAUAAUAUCUUCCUUCUCAUUAUUGAAGGUUGAAAUUCGGCUCAAGCUUCCGCUUGCACAUGUUCCCGCGGCGCAUUUGCUAGUUGGUGAGGUAACGGCUCACCAAGGCGACGAUGCGUAGCCGGCCUGAGAGGGUGAUCGGCAAAAAUGGGAGUGGGAAAAGGCACAGAGGCCUAAGGGAGGCAGCAGUAGGGAAACGUCCGAAAUGGACGAAAGUCAGAAGGAAGAACGCCGAGUGAGAGAAGAAGGUCUUCGGAUCGUAAAGCUCUGGUGUCAGGGAAGAAAAAGAAGCGUUCGAAAAGGGAGGUACAGUGACGGUACCUGACAAGAAAGCAACGGCUAACUACGUG
This 499-nucleotide ribosomal RNA is filed under the name uncultured bacterium. RNAcentral's name for it is "partial 16S ribosomal RNA". It matches the Rfam family "Bacterial small subunit ribosomal RNA", at positions 28 to 507 of the family's 1533-position model. The record is from RNAcentral.